UUUUAUUUGAGAGUUUGAUCCUGGCUCAGGAUGAACGCUGGCGGCGUGCCUAACACAUGCAAGUUGAGCGAUUUACUUCGGUAAAGAGCGGCGGACGGGUGAGUAACGCGUGGGUAACCUACCCUGUACACACGGAUAACAUACCGAAAGGUAUGCUAAUACGGGAUAAUAUAUUUGAGAGGCAUCUCUUAAAUAUCAAAGGUGAGCCAGUACAGGAUGGACCCGCGUCUGAUUAGCUAGUUGGUAAGGUAACGGCUUACCAAGGCGACGAUCAGUAGCCGACCUGAGAGGGUGAUCGGCCACAUUGGAACUGAGACACGGUCCAAACUCCUACGGGAGGCAGCAGUGGGGAAUAUUGCACAAUGGGCGAAAGCCUGAUGCAGCAACGCCG
This 391-nucleotide ribosomal RNA is filed under the name Clostridioides difficile. RNAcentral describes it as "bacterial SSU rRNA". It matches the Rfam family "Bacterial small subunit ribosomal RNA", at positions 1 to 399 of the family's 1533-position model. Lineage: Bacteria; Bacillati; Bacillota; Clostridia; Peptostreptococcales; Peptostreptococcaceae. The record is from RNAcentral.